AGAUUGAACGCUGGCGGCAGGCCUAACACAUGCAAGUCGAGCGGUAGAGAGGUGCUUGCAUCUCUUGAGAGCGGCGGACGGGUGAGUAAUGCCUAGGAAUCUGCCUAGUGGUGGGGGAUAACGUUCGGAAACGGACGCUAAUACCGCACACGUCCUACGGGAGAAAGCGGGGGACCUUCGGGCCUCGCGCCAUUAGAUGAGCCUAGGUCGGAUUAGCUAGUUGGUGAGGUAAUGGCUCACCAAGGCGACGAUCCGUAACUGGUCUGAGAGGAUGAUCAGUCACACUGGAACUGAGACACGGUCCAGACUCCUACGGGGAGCAGCAGUGGGGAAUAUUGGACUAAGUGGGACGAAAGCC
Molecule: ribosomal RNA, 358 nt
Filed under: uncultured soil bacterium
Lineage: Bacteria
Description: bacterial SSU rRNA
Rfam family: Bacterial small subunit ribosomal RNA
Source: RNAcentral